GAGUUUGAUCCUGGCUCAGAAUCAACGCUGGCGGCGUGCCUAACACAUGCAAGUCGAACGCGAAAGUCCCGCAAGGGAUCAGUAGAGUGGCAAACGGGUGAGUAACGCGUGGGUGACCUGCCUUCGAGCGGGGGAUAACGUUCCGAAAGGGACGCUAAUACCGCAUGACAUCCUGCCUUUGAAGAGGUGGAGAUCAAAGCUGGGGAUCGCAAGACCUAGCACUCGAAGAGGGGCCCGCGUCCGAUUAGCUAGUUGGUGAGGUAACGGCUCACCAAGGCUUCGAUCGGUAGCCGGCCUGAGAGGGCGGACGGCCACACUGGGACUGAGACACGGCCCAGACUCCUACGGGAGGCAGCAGUGGGGAAUCUUGCGCAAUGCGCGAAAGCGUGACGCAGCAACGCCGCGUGGGGGAAGACGGCCUUCGGGUUGUAAACCCCUUUCAGGAGGGACGAAGGUUCACCGGUGAAUAGCCGUGUGGAUUGACGGUACCUCCACAAGAAGCUCCGGCUAACUACGUGCCAGCAGCCGCGGUAAUACGUAGGGAGCAAGCGUUGUCCGGAAUCAUUGGGCGUAAAGCGCGCGUAGGUGGCUCUAUAAGUCCGUUGUGAAAGUCAAAGGCUCAACCUUUGAAAGCCGAUGGAUACUGUAGAGCUAGAGUCCGGAGGAGGCGAGUGGAAUUCCUGGUGUAGCGGUGGAAUGCGCAGAUAUCAGGAGGAACACCAAUAGCGAAGGCAGCUCGCUGGGACGUGACUGACACUAAGGCGCGAAAGCGUGGGGAGCGAACAGGAUUAGAUACCCUGGUAGUCCACGCCGUAAACGAUGGGCAUUAGGUGUGGGAGGUGUCGACUCCUCCCGUGCCGUCGCUAACGCACUAAAUGCCCCGCCUGGGGAGUACGGCCGCAAGGCUAAAACUCAAAGGAAUUGACGGGGGCCCGCACAAGCAGCGGAGCGUGUGGUUUAAUUCGAGGCUACACGAAGAACCUUACCUGGGUUUGACAUAGGCGUGGUAGGGAACCGAAAGGGGACCGACCUUCGGGAGCGUCUACAGGUGCUGCAUGGCUGUCCUCAGCUCGUGUCGUGAGAUGUUCGGUUAAGUCCGAAAACGAGCGCAACCCUCGGGUCUAGUUACACGUGUCUAGACCGACUGCCCGGGAGAACCGGGAGGAAGGUGGGGAUGACGUCAAGUCAUCAUGGCCUUUAUGGGUAGGGCUACACACGUGCUACAAUGGGGCGUACAGAGGGUAGCGAACCUGCGAAGGGGAGCCAAUCUUAAGAAAGCGCCUCGUAGUCCAGAUUGGAGUCUGCAACUCGACUCCAUGAAGUUGGAAUCGCUAGUAAUCGCGAAUCAGCAACGUCGCGGUGAAUACGUUCCCGGGCCUUGUACACAC
RNAcentral lists this ribosomal RNA (1388 nucleotides) under uncultured bacterium. Its description in RNAcentral is "partial 16S ribosomal RNA". It matches the Rfam family "Bacterial small subunit ribosomal RNA". The record is from RNAcentral.